Transfer RNA from Camelus ferus (Wild Bactrian camel), 72 nucleotides. It matches the Rfam family "tRNA". From Rfam's summary of the family: Transfer RNA (tRNA) molecules are approximately 80 nucleotides in length. The record is from Rfam. Lineage: Eukaryota; Metazoa; Chordata; Mammalia; Artiodactyla; Camelidae.
GAGGGUAUAGCUCAGUGGUAGAGUGCAUGCUUAGCAUACACAAGGUCCUGGGUUCAAUUCCUAGUACCUCUA